UGGAUGAUCUCUGGGUUCCCCUCUAGUC
RNAcentral lists this non-coding RNA (28 nucleotides) under Homo sapiens (human). Lineage: Eukaryota; Metazoa; Chordata; Mammalia; Primates; Hominidae. The record is from RNAcentral.